GAUGAACGCUGGCGGCGUGCCUAAUACAUGCAAGUCGAACGCUUCACUUCGGUGAAGAGUGGCGAACGGGUGAGUAAUACAUAAGUAACCUGGCAUCUACAGGGGGAUAACUGAUGGAAACGUCAGCUAAGACCGCAUAGGUGUAGAGAUCGCAUGAACUCUAUAUGAAAAGUGCUACGGGACUGGUAGAUGAUGGACUUAUGGCGCAUUAGCUGGUUGGUAGGGUAACGGCCUACCAAGGCGACGAUGCGUAGCCGACCUGAGAGGGUGACCGGCCACACUGGGACUGAGACACGGCCCAGACUCCAACGGGAGGCAGCAGUAGGGAAUUUUCGGCAAUGGGGGAAACCCUGACUGAGCAACGCCGCGUGAAGGAAGAAGUAGUUCGUUAUGUAAACUUCUGUCAUAGAGGAAGAACGGUGGAUAUAGGGAAUGAUAUCCAAGUGACGGUACUCUAUAAGAAAGCCACGGCUAACUACGUGCCAGCCGCCGCAGUAA
This 498-nucleotide ribosomal RNA is filed under the name uncultured bacterium. RNAcentral's name for it is "partial 16S ribosomal RNA". It matches the Rfam family "Bacterial small subunit ribosomal RNA", at positions 28 to 523 of the family's 1533-position model. The record is from RNAcentral.